Mytilus californianus (California mussel) is the source of this 339-nucleotide long non-coding RNA. RefSeq lists it as uncharacterized. The record is from RefSeq and is a predicted model, not a curated record. NCBI's taxonomy places the organism in Eukaryota, Metazoa, Mollusca, Bivalvia, Mytilida, Mytilidae. The transcript is spliced from 2 exons.
AUAAAGGACAACUACUAAAAAGUUUCACAAGGAACACGCCAUCAUAGAAAGACACAGAGAACCAACAAACAUGGCGCCAAUAGUAUUGAUUUGUUUAGCCCUUGUCGGACUCGUGGCAUCGGAGGCCGGUAAAAAAGGAUACAGUCCUAAAUAUAACAUGAAAACAUAUGGAAAUCCGUUCGGACCAGCUAAUAUUGGUAGUUAUGAAUAUCAAGGAAAUGGUUACUUUGGAUAUCCGUCUUAUGGUAGAUCAGAAUAUGGAUACGGGGGAUACAGCAACAACGCUUAUGGUUACGGUUCACCAUUAAGCAUUGGCGGUUAUGCUGGAUACAAUGGAUA